RNAcentral lists this ribosomal RNA (497 nucleotides) under uncultured bacterium. RNAcentral describes it as "partial 16S ribosomal RNA". It matches the Rfam family "Bacterial small subunit ribosomal RNA", at positions 28 to 507 of the family's 1533-position model. The record is from RNAcentral.
GAUGAACGCUGGCGGCGUGCCUAAUACAUGCCAGUCGAGCGAACAGACGAGGAGCUUGCUCCUCUGACGUUAGCGGCGGACGGGUGAGUAACACGUGGAUAACCUACCUAUAAGACUGGGAUAACUUCGGGAAACCGGAGCUAAUACCGGAUAACAUGUUGAACCGCAUGGUUCAACAGUGAAAGACGGUCUUGCUGUCACUUAUAGAUGGAUCCGCGCCGCAUUAGCUAGUUGGUAAGGUAACGGCUUACCAAGGCAACGAUGCGUAGCCGACCUGAGAGGGUGAUCGGCCACACUGGAACUGAGACACGGUCCAGACUCCUACGGGAGGCAGCAGUAGGGAAUCUUCCGCAAUGGGCGAAAGCCUGACGGAGCAACGCCGCGUGAGUGAAGAAGGUCUUCGGAUCGUAAAACUCUGUUAUUAGGGAAGAACAAAUGUGUAAGUAACUAAGCACGUCUUGACGGUACCUAAUCAGAAAGCCACGGCUAACUACGUG